Molecule: small nucleolar RNA, 73 nt
Organism: Euleptes europaea (tarantolino)
Lineage: Eukaryota; Metazoa; Chordata; Lepidosauria; Squamata; Sphaerodactylidae
Source: RefSeq, a predicted model, not a curated record
GGUGCACAUGAUGAUUCUCUAGCGACCAAAGCCUGAUUGCUUGUGAUUAUAGCUUAUUAGAUACUGAUGCACC